GCACCUCCCUGGCGGCCUCAGACACUGGCCUCGUUAAGUGCUCUUGUCAAAUGUUGGAGCAGAUGGCACCAGGGAGAGUUAUGUCCUCAGAUCUGCAGAGCCUUGCCCAGCUGGGUGUGGGCAGUUACUAAGAAAUCCAUCUGAGUUCGAGGUCAGCCUGGUCUACAGAGUUAGUUCCAGGACAGCCAGGACUACACAGAGAAACCCUGUCUUGAAGAAAAAAGAAAAAAAGAAAAGGGGUGGCUAUUUUCCAGAUUGGAGAGUUGAGUGUCCUUGCCUCAUUUCAGUAUUGCAGUUGAAUGCAGAGACCUUGGUAACAAUGUUUAAUUAAAGAAAAAGACCAUUUGAAACAUAGUUGUCCGUGGCAAGCCCUGGAGGCACGUAGUCCCAGAGAAGCAACGCAGGCUCCCGGCACUGUGCUGAUGUUUCCCACAAGUGUUCCCUCUGCUCCGUGAGUUACUUGUGUUAGGUAGUAGGGAAACUUGGCUAUGUUCAUGUGACGUUCUCGCCAGUUAAGUGAAAUAAGACUCUACUAAAGCAGCCACGGGAGAUUUGAAGCCUAAGCCAUCACCACCACAGUAAGAAUUGUGCACUUAACCUGAGCUUGGUAGAAUAGCCACGGUACAGAAAAUCCUAUGUUUUCUCUUAGACCUUCUGUUUUUCCUUUAGGGAGUCUUUGCCUCACUAGUCUGUUUCCUUUUCCUAACAGACAUUUUCUUUGGACACACGGGCCUUUUCAGAAGGUCCAGCGUAGGCUCUGGGUCUCCUGGCCUGUGCAGAGUGAUGGCUGGUCUUUCUGUCCACGUGUCUGUUAGCGCGACACUCGUCCCUGCACAUUGAUGAGUGGGUAUUUAGGAUAAUGAAUGUAACUCUUAUUUAAAGGAGUCUCCUUGCUGAGAGUAGAUGAGUACUAUUACUGUAGUGUAUGAAGUAUUAGGUUUGUGCUGAAAAUCCAUUGCCAUUUGUUACAAAUGACAUUUGUUCUUUCUGUGAAAGAGAGAUGCCCUUAAGUGUGUUUGCACACAAACCCCUGGAUGGCUUGUUGCAGUGUCACCUUGUCUCGAUGACAGGUGAUGCUGAAGAGACACUAUGGCAGACCAGCCACCCAGUCCUUCCGUCAGUUGUUGCGUCAGUUCAGUCUAAUUUUAGUGUUUGGUGUUGAGUGUUGAAGCUUGCACUGCUGUAGAAUUGAUGGCUGCUCUCCGUCAGGCUGUGUGGGGUGUACACGUGGACCUGGAGCAUGCAUGUGUAACCAUAUGAUCAGUACUGCAGUUCCUGUAGUCUAACCCAUCUGCAUAGUCAGUUGGAAAAAGAAAUGUGCUGUUGUAGUAACGUAGAACAAAAGCUGCUAAAACAAUGUAGAGUGGACCAGGACCCGAGCUGAGCAGCAGGAGCCUCUGUUCCCUGCAGCCUGUGGGGCGGGUCCAGCCUUCUGAGGUGCCCUUCAAAGCCAUCAUCUGAGAGAAGAAACGGUUCAGGCGACAUGAGCAAGUUUCUGGGAAACUUUGUUUGAGAGCAUGCUAAGGUUUAUUUAAAACCCCAGGAAUUGCUCUUUCCAGGUGAAAAAUUCUUUUUUUGACCUGAAGGCAGAGGAAAGAGUUCCCUGCUAAUGAUUCCAUUCAGCUGAUGAAGUACUUGAUUAUUAGAGAGCAGUGCCACUAAGCAGCUUUAAGUUGUCCGUAAUCAUUGUAAACAUCAGUGCAGUACCUUCAAUAUGGUAAAGAUGUUGUCUUCAGAUGAAUGGCUCAUAUUUUGGUGCAGUGUUUGAUGUUCACAAAAAAAUGUUACAAUAAUAAACUAACAUAAACUG
Molecule: long non-coding RNA, 1810 nt
Filed under: Mus musculus (house mouse)
Lineage: Eukaryota; Metazoa; Chordata; Mammalia; Rodentia; Muridae
Description: long non-coding RNA chr17:71248006-71249816
Source: RNAcentral